CAGAGAGAGUUUUCUAGAAAGAGUCGGCGCGCGGAGCUGGCGCGAGCAGCUGCGUUGGGGCGCGCGCUGCAGGUGUUGCUGUAGCCAGGGAAACGGGCCGAUCGAUCAGCUCAGAGAGAAGAGUCCGAGUUUAGCUCCAGUAAUGACCACCAUAGACUACAGCGUGUGGAGUCACAUCGAGGUGUCCGACGAUGAGGCCGACACGCACCCCAACAUCCACACCCCCAGCCUCUUCAGGUGGAGACACCAGAAACAUGCUCUGACUCAGCAGAUCUCUGUAUCUCUCUCACAUAAACAUGCUUUGAUGGAGCAGGUUGCCCACCAGACCAUUGUUAUACAGUUCAUCCUGGAGCUGGCCAAGAGCCUGAAGGUGGACCCCCGCGGCUGCUUCCGCCAUUUUUUUUGCCAAGAUUAAGCUGUCAGAAUUUGAUAGGUCAGUGGUUACAGAAAAACACAGGACUUCCCCAAAACCAUCAACUAAUUUAGAAUGAGAGAAGUUUUGGAAUGAGCGAGCCUCGCUCCCCUGUGCUGAGGGCCCCCCCCGUGCUGAGGGCCUCCCCCAUGCUGAAGGGCCCCCCUGUGCUGAGGCCCCC
Long non-coding RNA from Megalops cyprinoides (Indo-Pacific tarpon), 593 nucleotides. RefSeq lists it as uncharacterized. Lineage: Eukaryota; Metazoa; Chordata; Actinopteri; Elopiformes; Megalopidae. The record is from RefSeq and is a predicted model, not a curated record. The transcript is spliced from 3 exons.